RNAcentral lists this ribosomal RNA (377 nucleotides) under uncultured bacterium. RNAcentral's name for it is "bacterial SSU rRNA". It matches the Rfam family "Bacterial small subunit ribosomal RNA", at positions 521 to 896 of the family's 1533-position model. The record is from RNAcentral.
UAAGACGUAGGGUGCGAGCGUUGUCCGGAUUUAUUGGGCGUAAAGAGCUCGUAGGCGGCUCGUCGCGUCGACUGUGAAAACCUGGGGCUUAACCCUGGGCCUGCAGUCGAUACGGGCGGGCUAGAGUUCGGUAGGGGAGACUGGAAUUCCUGGUGUAGCGGUGAAAUGCGCAGAUAUCAGGAGGAACACCGGUGGCGAAGGCGGGUCUCUGGGCCGAUACUGACGCUGAGGAGCGAAAGCGUGGGGAGCGAACAGGAUUAGAUACCCUGGUAGUCCACGCUGUAAACGGUGGGUGCUAGGUGUGGGGACCUCUCCAGGUCUCCGUGCCGCAGCUAACGCAUUAAGCACCCCGCCUGGGGAGUACGGCCGCAAGGCUA